CCUACGGGGGGCAGCAGUGAGGAAUAUUGGUCAAUGGGCGGAAGCCUGAACCAGCCAAGUCGCGUGAGGGAUUAAGGCCCUGCGGGUCGUAAACCUCUUUUGCCGGGGAGCAGAGGUCCGGACGUGUCCGGGCCGGGAGAGUACCCGGAGAAAAAGCAUCGGCUAACACCGUGCCAGCAGCCGCGGUAAUACGGGGGAUGCGAGCGUUAUACGGUUUUAUUGGGGUUAAAGGGUGCGUAGGCGGGCAUUUAAGCCGGCGGUCAAAUGUCGGGGCUCAACCCCGGCCUGCCGUCGGAACUGGGUGCCUUGAGUGGGCGAGAGGUAUGCGGAAUGCGUGGUGUAGCGGUGAAAUGCAUAGAUAUCACGCAGAACCCCGAUUGCGAAGGCAGCAUACCGGCGCCCUACUGACGCUGAGGCACGAAAGUGCGGGUAUCGAACAGGAUUAGAUACCCUAGUAGUC
This 460-nucleotide ribosomal RNA is filed under the name uncultured bacterium. Its description in RNAcentral is "partial 16S ribosomal RNA". It matches the Rfam family "Bacterial small subunit ribosomal RNA", at positions 338 to 795 of the family's 1533-position model. The record is from RNAcentral.